Molecule: non-coding RNA, 22 nt
Filed under: Arabidopsis thaliana (thale cress)
Lineage: Eukaryota; Viridiplantae; Streptophyta; Magnoliopsida; Brassicales; Brassicaceae
Source: RNAcentral
GAGCGGGUCGCCGCGUGCCGGC